AGACGGGGGGUGCUAGCGUUGUUCGGAAUUACUGGGCGUAAAGGGCGCGUAGGCGGCUCUGCGAGUCGGGCGUGAAAUCCCGGGGCUCAACCCCGGAACGGCGCUCGAUACUGCGGGGCUGGAGACCGGAAGAGGAGGGUGGAAUUCCCAGUGUAGAGGUGAAAUUCGUAGAUAUUGGGAGGAACACCGGUGGCGAAAGCGGCUCUCUGGUCCGGUUCUGACGCUGAGGCGCGAAAGCGUGGGGAGCAAACAGGAUUAGAAACCCCGGUAGUCC
This 274-nucleotide ribosomal RNA is filed under the name uncultured bacterium. RNAcentral's name for it is "partial 16S ribosomal RNA". It matches the Rfam family "Bacterial small subunit ribosomal RNA", at positions 523 to 796 of the family's 1533-position model. The record is from RNAcentral.